Molecule: long non-coding RNA, 235 nt
Organism: Cyprinodon variegatus (sheepshead minnow)
Lineage: Eukaryota; Metazoa; Chordata; Actinopteri; Cyprinodontiformes; Cyprinodontidae
Exons: 3
Source: RefSeq, a predicted model, not a curated record
GAAAGCGUGUUUUCUUACACUUUAGGAGAGACGCUGUGGAAGUUGGUCGUAACAGAAAGUAUUGACUGCAAAAGUAAGAGUACAUGGACUCGACUCCUGAGGGGACGAAAUAUGCCGAAUAAAACAGAAGUCACAUACUACGGAUUGAUCAAUCAAGGAUCAACAUGCUACCUAAACAGUAUCCUGCAGGUUCUGUUUAUGACCAAGGAGUUCAGAGAGGCUGUGAACAGGUUUG